Molecule: transfer RNA, 76 nt
Filed under: Rhodopirellula maiorica SM1
Lineage: Bacteria; Pseudomonadati; Planctomycetota; Planctomycetia; Pirellulales; Pirellulaceae
Description: tRNA-Asn
Rfam family: tRNA
About the family: Transfer RNA (tRNA) molecules are approximately 80 nucleotides in length. Their secondary structure includes four short double-helical elements and three loops (D, anti-codon, and T loops).
Source: RNAcentral
UCCCCUGUAGCUCAGUCGGUAGAGCAGCGGACUGUUAAUCCGCCUGUCACAGGUUCGAGUCCUGUCGGGGGAGCUA